RNAcentral lists this ribosomal RNA (497 nucleotides) under uncultured bacterium. RNAcentral describes it as "partial 16S ribosomal RNA". It matches the Rfam family "Bacterial small subunit ribosomal RNA", at positions 28 to 507 of the family's 1533-position model. The record is from RNAcentral.
GAUGAACGCUGGCGGCGUGCCUAAUACAUGCAAGUCGAGCGAACAGACGAGGAGCUUGCUCCUCUGACGUUAGCGGCGGACAGGGGAGUAACACGUGGAGAACCUACCUAUAAGACUGGGAUAAAUUCGGGAAACCGGAGCUAAUACCGGAUAAUAUAUUGAACCGCAUGGUUCAAUAGUGAAAGACGGUUUUGCUGUCACUUAUAGAUGGAUCCGCGCCGCAUUAGCUAGUUGGUAAGGUAACGGCUUACCAAGGCAACGAUGCGUAGCCGACCUGAGAGGGUGAUCGGCCACACUGGAACUGAGACACGGUCCAGACUCCUACGGGAGGCAGCAGUAGGGAAUCUUCCGCAAUGGGCGAAAGCCUGACGGAGCAACGCCGCGUGAGUGAUGAAGGUCUUCGGAUCGUAAAACUCUGUUAUUAGGGAAGAACAAAUGUGUAAGUAACUAUGCACGUCUUGACGGUACCUAAUCAGAAAGCCACGGCUAACUACGUG